Molecule: ribosomal RNA, 415 nt
Filed under: uncultured bacterium
Lineage: Bacteria
Description: bacterial SSU rRNA
Rfam family: Bacterial small subunit ribosomal RNA
Source: RNAcentral
AACGAACGCUGGCGGCAGGCCUAACACAUGCAAGUCGAACGCCCUAGCAAUAGGGAGUGGCGCACGGGUGCGUAACGCGUGGGAAUAUGCCCUUCACUGCGGAAUAACGUUUGGAAACGAACGCUAAUACCGCAUAAUGACUCCGGUCCAAAGAUUUAUCGGUGAAGGAUUAGCCCGCGUUAGAUUAGCUAGUUGGUGAGGUAAUGGCUCACCAAGGCGACGAUCUAUAGCUGGUCUGAGAGGAUGAUCAGCCACACUGGGACUGAGACACGGCCCAGACUCCUACGGGAGGCAGCAGUGAGGAAUAUUGGACAAUGGGGGGCGAACCCUGAUCCAGCCAUGCCGCGUGAGUGAAGAAGGCCUUCGGUUGUAAAGACUCUUUCGUACGGGGACGGAUGAUGACGGUACCCGGUAC